This 253-nucleotide ribosomal RNA is filed under the name uncultured archaeon. Its description in RNAcentral is "partial 16S ribosomal RNA". It matches the Rfam family "Archaeal small subunit ribosomal RNA", at positions 474 to 727 of the family's 1478-position model. The record is from RNAcentral.
UACCCGCGGCCCGAGUGGUGGUCGAUAUUAUUGAGCCUAAAACGUCCGUAGCCGGUCUCGUAAAUCCCUGGGUAAAUCGGCCAGCUUAACUGUCCGAAUUCCGGGGAGACUGCGGGACUUGGGACCGGGAGAGGUCAGAGGUACUUCCGGGGUAGGGGUAAAAUCCUGUAAUCCUGGAAGGACCACCGGUGGCGAAGGCGUCUGACUAGAACGGAUCCGACGGUGAGGGACGAAGCCCUGGGGCGCAAACGGG